Molecule: ribosomal RNA, 498 nt
Filed under: uncultured bacterium
Lineage: Bacteria
Description: partial 16S ribosomal RNA
Rfam family: Bacterial small subunit ribosomal RNA
Source: RNAcentral
AUUGAACGCUGGCGACAUGCCUUACACAUGCAAGUCGAACGGUAACGGGCCUCCGGGUGCCGACGAGUGGCGAACGGGUGAGUAAUACAUCGGAACGUGCCCGAUCGUGGGGGAUAACGAGGCGAAAGCUUUGCUAAUACCGCAUACGAUCUACGGAUGAAAGAAGGGGACCGCAAGGCCUUGCGCGGACGGAGCGGCCGAGGGCAGAUUAGGUAGUUGGUGGGAUAAAAGCUUACCAAGCCGACGAUCUGUAGCUGGUCUGAGAGGAUGAUCAGCCACACUGGGACUGAGACACGGCCCAGACUCCUACGGGAGGCAGCAGUGGGGAAUUUUGGACAAUGGGUGCAAGCCUGAUCCAGCCAUGCCGCGUGCAGGAUGAAGGCCUUCGGGUUGUAAACUGCUUUUGUACGGAACGAAAAGCCUUCUUCUAAUACAGGAGGGUCAUGACGGUACCGUAAGAAUAAGCACCGGCUAACUACGUGCCAGCCGCCGCAGUAA